Molecule: ribosomal RNA, 267 nt
Filed under: uncultured bacterium
Lineage: Bacteria
Description: partial 16S ribosomal RNA
Rfam family: Bacterial small subunit ribosomal RNA
Source: RNAcentral
GUCCACGCCGUAAACGAUGGUCACUAGGUGUUUGCGGUAUCGACCCCGCAAGUGCCGUCGCUAACGCAGUAAGUGACCCGCCUGGGGAGUACGGCCGCAAGGUUGAAACUCAAAGGAAUUGACGGGGCCCGCACAAGCGGUGGAGCAUGUGGAUUAAUACGUCAUUAACCGUAGAACCUUACCCAGGCUUGACAUCCUCGGAACCCGCCCGAAAAGGCGGGGUGCUUCGCAAGAAGAGCCGAGAGACAGGUGUUGCAUGGCUGUCGU